UCCUUUAGGUUAGCGGCGGACGGGUGAGUAACACGUGGGCAACCUGCCCUGCAGACUGGGAUAACUUCGGGAAACCGGAGCUAAUACCGGAUAACACCGAAAACCGCAUGGUUUUCGGUUGAAAGGCGGCUUUUACCUGUCACUGCAGGAUGGGCCCGCGGCGCAUUACCUAGUUGGGGAGGUAACGGCUCACCAAGGCAACAAUGCGUACCCAACCUGAAAGGGUGACCGGCCACACUGGGACUGAAACACGGCCCAAACUCCUACGGGAGGCAGCAGUAGGGAAUCUUCCGCAAUGGACAAAAGUCUGACGGAGCAACGCCGCGUGAGCGAAAAAGGUCUUCGGAUCGUAAAGCUCUGUUGUCAGGGAAAAACAAGUACCGUUCAAACAGGGCGGUACCUUGACGGUACCUGACAAGGAAGCCACGGCUAACUACGUGCCAGCAGCCGCGGUAAUACGUAGGUGGCAAGCGUUGUCCGGAAUUAUUGGGCGUAAAGCGCGCGCAGGCGGUUCCUUAAGUCUGAUGUGAAAUCUCGCGGCUCAACCGCGAGCGGCCAUUGAAAACUGGGGAACUUGAGUGCAGGAGAGGGAAGCGGAUUUCCCCGUGUAGCGGUGAAAUGCGUAAAAGAUGUGGAGGAACNCCAGUGGGCGAAGCGCGGCUCCUCUGGCUUGUAACUUGACGCCUGAGGCCGCGAAAGCGUGGGGGGAGCGAACAGGAUUAGAUACCCUGGUAGUCCCACGCCGUAAACGAUGAGUGCUAAGUGUUAGAGGGUAUCCACCCCUUUAGUGCUGCAGCAACGCAUANCACCUCCGNCUGGGGAGUACGGCCGCAGGCUGAACUCAAGGAUGACGGGA
This 856-nucleotide ribosomal RNA is filed under the name Geobacillus sp. SP59. RNAcentral describes it as "bacterial SSU rRNA". It matches the Rfam family "Bacterial small subunit ribosomal RNA", at positions 83 to 918 of the family's 1533-position model. Lineage: Bacteria; Bacillati; Bacillota; Bacilli; Caryophanales; Anoxybacillaceae. The record is from RNAcentral.